Molecule: ribosomal RNA, 332 nt
Filed under: Clitaetra perroti
Lineage: Eukaryota; Metazoa; Arthropoda; Arachnida; Araneae; Nephilidae
Description: partial 12S ribosomal RNA
Source: RNAcentral
AUUUUUAUAAAUAAGUAGUAAAAUAUUUUAUUAAAACUUUUGUAGUUUGGCGGCAUUUUUUGUAUUAGAGGAACCUGCUACUUAAUCGAUAAUCCACGUUAAAUUUCACUAUUAUUUACAUCUUAUAUACCUCCAUCAAAAGAACUUAUUUUUGUAAUAUUAUUCUAAAAAGUUAUCCCUAAAAAGUUAGGUAAAGGUGUAGACAAUAUAAUAGAUUAUAGUGGGUUACUAUAAAAUUUUAUUUAAGGACAACAAAUGAAAAUUUUUAGAUAAAAAGGAUUUAUUAGUAAAAUUUAAAUAAUUAUUAAAUUUGAACAUUAAAAUAAAUGUGU